This 491-nucleotide ribosomal RNA is filed under the name uncultured bacterium. Its description in RNAcentral is "bacterial SSU rRNA". It matches the Rfam family "Bacterial small subunit ribosomal RNA", at positions 21 to 507 of the family's 1533-position model. The record is from RNAcentral.
GGCUCAGGAUGAACGCUAGCGGCAGGCUUAAUACAUGCAAGUCGUGGGGCAGCAUGAGUAGCAAUACUUGAUGGCGACCGGCAAACGGGUGAGGAACACGUACACAACCUUCCUUCAGCGGGGAAUAGCCCAGAGAAAUUUGGAUUAAUACCCCAUAAUAUAUUUGAUAAGGCAUCUUAUUAAUAUUAAAGCUUCGGCACUUGAUGAUGGGUGUGCGGCUGAUUAGAUAGUUGGCGGGGUAACGGCCCACCAAGUCUACGAUCAGUAGCUGAUGUGAGAGCAUGAUCAGCCACACGGGCACUGAGACACGGGCCCGACUCCUACGGGAGGCAGCAGUAAGGAAUAUUGGACAAUGGACGAAAGUCUGAUCCAGCCAUGCCGCGUGAAGGAUUAAGGUCCUCUGGAUUGUAAACUUCUUUUAUAUGGGACGAAAAAAGGGCAUUCUUGUUCACUUGACGGUACCAUAUGAAUAAGCACCGGCUAACUCCGUG